Long non-coding RNA from Vespa mandarinia (Asian giant hornet), 1776 nucleotides. The record is from RefSeq and is a predicted model, not a curated record. Lineage: Eukaryota; Metazoa; Arthropoda; Insecta; Hymenoptera; Vespidae.
UUUGUUUUGUUUUUCUUUUUUUUUUUUUUCCCUUUUCUUUUUCUGUAUUACUUUCACGAAUUUAUCUCUUCACCUAAAUUGGUGCGUACAAUCAUUGUUUGCUUAAUUAUAAAAACGAUAUAUAGAAAUAAUAUUGUGCUCUCGUGAUUUAUAUAAGUUUGCUACGAUACUCGUAUAAUUGGUAUAAUUCCAGACAUUCUUUGAGAUGACUCUAUACAUUGAGAGAUGUAUUAGUAAGGUAUACUUAUAACGUCUAUGGUAAAUUGUGUAUUAUAUAUUUAAAGAUAUUAAGGAAAUGCAUUUGAUCUUACUCUCGCAAGAUUUUCGAAAAGAAAUCCGUGGGCGAACUUCGGAUUAAGGAUCUUCUACGAUUAAAUUAUGUAAUUAAAGGAAACGGAAAAAAAAGAAAGGAAAAAAUUAAUACGUAUGGGACAAGCGAAGAAACAAACAAACAAAUAGACAAACAAAAAAGAUAAGAUAAAAUAAAAAUAAAAAUAAAUAUAAAUGAUAGACGUCGAAACACCAAACUUACAGAAUAGCUUAUCACCACUCAGGGAAAUCGGUUUAUUACUCAAAAUUCUGUCGAGUUUUCCUUUGAGUACGUCGAUCAUGGGUCUUUAUAAUAAUAUAAAAAAUUCUAUAUACGUAUAUACAGAUUAUUAAACAUUUUUGAAUAUUAAAAGCGAAACAUUGACGGUCAAUGUAAUCAAUUUUUCAUAUCUUACAGUAAAUCUGAAAUAUUUAGAAAUGGAUAAAAAAUCAUUUCUCUAUAUAUUUCCUCGUAUUAUCGAUACAUCAAGAUACACGAUUGACGACUACUCUAUCGAAAGUUCGUUAGGAUUUCUAAAAUAUGAAGAAAAAGAUGAUUAAAAAAAAGAAAGAAAAAAAAAAAAACAAAAAAAAAAAAAAAGAAAGAAAGAAAAAAAAAGAAAAGAAAAUAUUUGAAUACGUCAAGUGAGAAUAAUUUCAGUAAAAGAUAAACAUCUCAUCGCGUUUGUACUAAUGAAAAAUAUUUUAUGCGUCAGUAUAGUAACUAUAUAUUGUAUUAAAAAUAUAAUGAUUAUACACAUGAAAUAUCCAUUGUAAAAAUUAAAAGAAAAAGGAAAAAAAAUUAAUAAAUAAAAAGAAGCAAGAGAGAGAGAAAGAGAAGAAAAGAGACGAUGAAAAGAUUGACGAGGAUUGUGAUAUACGUCUACUACAGAAAAAAAAGGAAUAAAUAAAUAAAAAUUAAAAAGUCGAAGAGUGUAAGGAUCGGCAAUGAAGAAAAACAGAAAGAAGAGAAAUGAGAAAGAAAGAAAAACCACAGAGCACUGCGACGUUAUUUUUACACAAAUGAUGAUGUUUGCUGCUGAUGAUGAUAAUGACGACGACGAUGAUGAUGAUGAUGAUGAUGAUGAAGACGAUGAUGAUGAUGAUGGUGGUGGUGGUGGUGAUGAUGAUGAUGAUGAUGAUGAUGAUGAUGAUGAUGAUGAUGAUGAUGAUGAACGUGCCAAAUUUUUUGCAAUCGAAUUACCGAACUCCCUCGAUACUUCUCAUAGGAUUUAUCUCGGCUAUUAUGAACGUGUGAUGUAGAUAAGAGAAAUUUUUUUCAGGCGAUAUUAUAAGAAUUUAAUGAAGGAAAAAGAUAAACGGAAAGAAAAAUCAGAAAAAAGAAAUACGAAGGAGAAGAUGAAAGAAAUUAUUACAAAAGUAAAAACACGAUGUCAAUGUUUGUGUCUAUCGUAAUUAAUGUUAAAAAAAUAAAAAAAAAAAAAAAAAGGAAAAUAAGAAAAAAAA